AAAGUGGAGCCAUCAAUGGAAGUAGGGGAGCAGCAGAUGUGGAGCCAUUGGACGAGGAGGAACAACUCGGGUAACAUGAGGGAAGGGGUGGAUCUGACGGAAGCGGGGGAGCACAGAAGAUGGAGCCAUCUUAUUGACCCGUUUGGCGACCGGCCGGCUAGCCAAUCCCCUUCACUCCCAUCACGUCAUGUAGCUCCGACGGUUGCCUGCCCGCACGGGGAUAGAUGUCUUCGCCGUCACACGUGAGGAUGUUCUUGGACACUCUGUGUUGCUGCUGUUUGUAGUUGCAGAAGUUUUAAGGAGUCAGAGUAGCUUCCACAUCUGUAGUUAGGGCUGACGAUUGUGAUUUUGGGCCUGUACUGAAUAAUUUUGGGACCGGCUAGGUGAUUACAAGCCAGGAGGACUGCAUGUGACGAGUUAAGGGCUUAAGGCACAAGAAGAACUACGGCCAUUUUAGCUCCAGCACUAAGUACACAACCAAUCAACCAUGCAUUUUCAUGACCCAGGUUUCUGAAUUCUGGCUGACAGGCUCCCUACCACAGCCACAUAAUCUCACACAUUCAAAUUGCUAGCUACACAAAAUACGCCCGGAUCUACGAGUAGAAAUCCAAGAGAGCAUGGAACGCUAUAUGGAAGGAGAUGCCAUUGCUACCUCUUGAGCACUACGUUGGUUUUCCCUUGAAGUGGAAAGGGUGAUGCAGCAAAGUAGCGUAAGUAUUUCCCUCAGUUUUUGAGAACCAAGGUAUCAAUCCAGUAGGAGGCUACGCGCGAGUCCCUUGAACCUACACAAAACAAAUAAAUCCUCGCAACCAAUGCGAUAAGGGGUUGUCAAUCCCUACACAGUCAUUUACGAGAGUGAGAUCUGAUAGAUAUGAUAGGAUAAUAUU
This is a long non-coding RNA of Aegilops tauschii subsp. strangulata, 887 nucleotides long. RefSeq lists it as uncharacterized. The record is from RefSeq and is a predicted model, not a curated record. NCBI's taxonomy places the organism in Eukaryota, Viridiplantae, Streptophyta, Magnoliopsida, Poales, Poaceae.